Molecule: ribosomal RNA, 250 nt
Filed under: uncultured prokaryote
Description: partial 16S ribosomal RNA
Rfam family: Bacterial small subunit ribosomal RNA
Source: RNAcentral
ACGUAGGAGGCGAGCGUUAUCCGGAAUUACUGGGCGUAAAGCGUGCGCAGGCGGUUGCUAAGACAGGUGUGAAAUCCCCGGGCUUAACCUGGGAAUGGCGCUUGUGACUGGCGGGCUGGAGUACGGCAGAGGGGUGUGGAAUUCCGGGUGUAGUGGUGAAAUGCGUAGAGAUCCGGAGGAACACCAGAGGCGAAGGCGACACCCUGGGCCGUACCUGACGCUAAGACGCGACAGCACGGGGAGCGAACGG